ACGGAAGGCAGCAGUGGGGAAUAUUGGACAAUGGGGGAAACCCUGAUUCAGCGACGCCGCGUGAGUGAAGAAGUAUUUCGGUAUGUAAAGCUCUAUCAGCAAGGAAGAAAAUGACGGUACUUGACUAAGAAGCUCCGGCUAAAUACGUGCCAGCAGCCGCGGUAAUACGUAUGGAGCAAGCGUUAUCCGGAUUUACUGGGUGUAAAGGGAGCGUAGACGGCAAAGCAAGUCUGAAGUGAAAUCCCGGGGCUCAACCCCGGAACUGCUUUGGAAACUGUUUAGCUAGAGUGCAGGAGAGGUAAGCGGAAUUCCUAGUGUAGCGGUGAAAUGCGUAGAUAUUAGGAGGAACACCAGUGGCGAAGGCGGCUUACUGGACUGUAACUGACGUUGAGGCUCGAAAGCGUGGGGAGCAAACAGGAUUAGAUACCCUGGUA
This 434-nucleotide ribosomal RNA is filed under the name uncultured Lachnospiraceae bacterium. Its description in RNAcentral is "partial 16S ribosomal RNA". It matches the Rfam family "Bacterial small subunit ribosomal RNA", at positions 341 to 792 of the family's 1533-position model. The record is from RNAcentral. Lineage: Bacteria; Bacillati; Bacillota; Clostridia; Lachnospirales; Lachnospiraceae.